RNAcentral lists this ribosomal RNA (119 nucleotides) under Pteropus alecto (black flying fox). Lineage: Eukaryota; Metazoa; Chordata; Mammalia; Chiroptera; Pteropodidae. The record is from RNAcentral.
UGCUAUGGCCAUGCCACCCUGAACGUGCCCGAUCUUGUCUGAUCUCAGAAGCUAAGCAGGAUCGAGCUUGGUUAGUACUUGGAUGGGAGGCCAUCUAGGAAGACCAGGUGCUGUAGGCA